CACAGAGAGUGAGGCUCCCACUGAAAACACGCAGGAAAAACAGAAACACUCUGCAAUGAGGGGAAACAGCGCCCUCUGCAGGCCAGGCAGGGCCACUACAGGGCUGGUCGGAGGGCAGCACCACGAUAAUUGCCCCUGUAGAUUAAAAAAGAACGGGGAGAUGCGGCGGCGGCGGCGGCGGGUCGGGGAAGCGCUCAGACCAGCUGCCACUCGAAGGCGAACAUGACGUUGACGACCUCCAGGCUGCGGGCGAUCUCCUCCAGGAUGCAGUGCUGCUGCCACAGCUGGUUCAGCUUCCUGUAGCGCUCGGGGCAGAGGUGCAGAGGGUUGCCCCGCCUGGAAAACAAAACAUUUCCACUCGCAACAAGGCCUGUCGCAAUAAAUGAUGAAUUAAAACAAGCUCAAUUUCAUCAUUUCAAUGAUUUAUCGUUUUGUUUUGCCUCCGUUUCUGACAAAACUGAACAAUUUUGUUUACAGACUCCAUGAUUAAACUUGUUAUUUUGUUUAUUUAUUUUGGAUAUUUUAAAAUGUUUGGUUUGGUUUUUGACAAUAUGUUGACAAUUAUUUUAACAAUCAAUUCAUCAUAAUUAAUCAUUUCAGUCCUAAUCUGCAUUAAAGCAACAAUCUCUGGGAUGUAUAGAGUUUAAAUAUUUAAAGUAUUAAAAUAAAAUAUCUGUGGAUUUCCAGCCUGUAUUUUGUUUUCCACUGCAUGAAUAAUUGUUCUAUAAAUCUGUUUAUCUAACAUUUAGCCGCCAACACGGCGUC
Molecule: long non-coding RNA, 765 nt
Organism: Xiphophorus hellerii (green swordtail)
Lineage: Eukaryota; Metazoa; Chordata; Actinopteri; Cyprinodontiformes; Poeciliidae
Exons: 3
Source: RefSeq, a predicted model, not a curated record